Molecule: ribosomal RNA, 253 nt
Filed under: uncultured bacterium
Lineage: Bacteria
Description: partial 16S ribosomal RNA
Rfam family: Bacterial small subunit ribosomal RNA
Source: RNAcentral
UACGGAGGGGGCUAGCGUUGUUCGGAAUUACUGGGCGUAAAGCGCGCGUAGGCGGUCCUGCAAGUCGGGGGUGAAAGCCCGAGGCUCAACCUCGGAACUGCCUUCGAUACUGCGGGUCUCGAGUCCGGGAGAGGUGAGUGGAAUUCCUAGUGUAGCGGUGGAAUGCGCAGAUAUCAGGAAGAACACCCGUGGCGAAGGCGGCUCUCUGGGACGGUACUGACGCUGAGACGCGAAAGCGUGGGGAGCGAACAGG